CAUACUCCUCUCUUAUCCGCGCUUUCUCUCUCUCCAGCUCCACUCUGUGGAGUUCUUGCAUUGCUUGUGUUUGCUUCUGGAUCUCCUCCUCCGCCCUUUGGUACAUCCUAUUAGUGUAGCAGCCUUCCUUGUUCUCCCUCACCACGCGCUGGAUCAGGCCCAGCAACUGUGCCCUCUGGGCCUCCUGCUCAGCGCCUGUUGCCUUGUUGUUUAACGCACAGUAGCGGUCACCGAAAAUGUCCAUCAAGUCUUGAAUGUCUUCUGGAGCUUCCCUUAAGUAGUCAUGCAAAUUGGUGUCACCUAAGUCAUCUUUCCGGGUGAAUAUGAGAAUCAUGAAACUUCUAGCCCUCUCUCCAAACAUUUUCAGGAUCUUCUCUGUGGCUUUGUGCUCUUCCUCAGUGUAACGGCCCAGUGGAACCACCAGAAGCAGAGCAUGAGGCCCUGGGGAGGUCAGAAGAAUGCAGCGAAUAAUCUCCUUGGACGUUUCAGCAUUGGGCACCUCUGUGUCGAAAAUGCCUGGUGUGUCAACUACGACAAGUUCUGUUUCCUUCCAUGAGCUGCUGCGUUUCUCACACUUCUUGGUAAUGGAUUUUGCUGCAGUGCCAGAAUGAAACACUUUCCGGCCAAGGAUGCUGUUUCCUGUUGCACUUUUUCC
Molecule: long non-coding RNA, 655 nt
Filed under: Homo sapiens (human)
Lineage: Eukaryota; Metazoa; Chordata; Mammalia; Primates; Hominidae
Description: HSALNT0344095
Source: RNAcentral